Molecule: long non-coding RNA, 325 nt
Filed under: Manihot esculenta (cassava)
Lineage: Eukaryota; Viridiplantae; Streptophyta; Magnoliopsida; Malpighiales; Euphorbiaceae
Description: long non-coding RNA (MESC_LNC009365)
Source: RNAcentral
GAAUCAUAAGAAUUUUGUUCCUUCUUUUUUUUCACUAAGAAGAAAAUUCAGCUAAAACAAAGAUCCCAAAGAUCAGCUAAACCACGGCAAAACACACAUAAGACGUUCAGAGCACCAUGGAAGCAAUUAUUCAUCAAACCCAGCCUUCAUUUCAGGCUCCAGUAUGUUACAUCUCAGCACUAUUAGGAUGUCUCAAGUUCCAGCUCCUGUUACUAAAAUGUUACAUAUGAUUUCCUAUUUUAUUUUAUUUGGAGGCAGAAACAAAAGGUUACAGAUGAUUCAUGAUUCAGUCUGGAACUACAAGGUAUACAACUCCUUUUAUUGG